RNAcentral lists this long non-coding RNA (451 nucleotides) under Mustela putorius furo (domestic ferret). RNAcentral's name for it is "lncRNA (ENSMPUG00000031039.1)". The record is from RNAcentral. Lineage: Eukaryota; Metazoa; Chordata; Mammalia; Carnivora; Mustelidae.
GAAGCGGCCACAUACGAGGGCUGUGCUCCGAUUUUCACCGCCUUGCUCUCCUUUCCCAGGAUGCUCUGUUAUAGGUACACGUCCCCGGGCUCAGCACAGUGCCUGGGAGAAGCAGGUGCCACCACUCAGAGCCUAUGGCCCCCAGAGGGCCAGUGAGUUCCCCAUCCCCCGACCCCUGGCGACAAGGUCAGGACCUCUCUCAUGGGUACACUGUGGUUCAUCCACCUGGACUGAUACUGGAAAACACCCCAGACAGUUCCAGAAACACGAUAAAAGUUCACAGACUGGAGAACAGAAGCAUAGACUCGAGAGACAGGUUUGAAAGUGAAAACACUACAAAGUGCAAGUUUCAAAAAAAGAACAUUCGGGUGAACUCAAGAUCCUCACUCAUUUAAUUUCUAGGGAAAAUUACUUUCCAGUGGAAACCAGAGGGGGAAAUGUUAAAGUAUAA